This 460-nucleotide ribosomal RNA is filed under the name uncultured bacterium. Its description in RNAcentral is "SSU rRNA". It matches the Rfam family "Bacterial small subunit ribosomal RNA", at positions 26 to 518 of the family's 1533-position model. The record is from RNAcentral.
AGAACGAACGCUGGCGGCGUGCCUAACACAUGCAAGUCGAACGAGAAAGGGGUAGCAAUACCCUGAGUAAAGUGGCGCACGGGUGAGUAACACGUGACUAACCUACCCUUGAGUGGGGGGAUAACUGAGGGAAACCUUAGCUAAUACCGCAUAAUACCCACGGGUCAAAGGAGCAAUUCGCUCGAGGAGGGGGUCGCGGCCGAUUAGUUAGUUGGCGGGGUAAUGGCCCACCAAGACGAUGAUCGGUAUCCGGCCUGAGAGGGCGCACGGACACACUGGAACUGAAACACGGUCCAGACUCCUACGGGAGGCAGCAGUGGGGAAUUUUGCGCAAUGGGGGAACCCUGACGCAGCAACGCCGCGUGGAGGAUGAAGUCCUUCGGGACGUAAACUCCUUUCGAUCGGGACGAUUAUGACGGUACGGAAGAGAAGCCCCGGCUAACUUCGCGCCAGCAGCCGC